Bos taurus (domestic cattle) is the source of this 3577-nucleotide long non-coding RNA. NCBI's taxonomy places the organism in Eukaryota, Metazoa, Chordata, Mammalia, Artiodactyla, Bovidae. The record is from Ensembl.
GUAUCCACAAACUAAUUUGACUGGUCAGCUCCCCUCUAGUUGGAGCAAGCACACACCACAAAAACGACUCUUAAAUUACAGGGCCGGCUUUCUGACGGGGGGAGGGGGUGGGGAAUACGUGUGCACUAUAUAGGGGCGUUUAUAGGUGCCUCUGAAUCGGAAACUUCACUAUUCAAAAGUGCUUUGGGGCCAAAUGAGCUCUCCAACUCUACAAGCAGAAAGCCCUACUGGGGAUAUGUGGAGGGGGGAUAUUCCACCCCCACCACCAGACUAGGCUGCAUUCAAGAAAGACUCAGAUUGAGGGAGGGAGGGAGGAAAGGAAAGAAGGAAAAAAAAAAAAAAAAAAAAGGAAGGAAGGGAAGGAAGAAAGGAGGAAAGACAAGAGAUUUUUUAAAAAGAGAGGAUUUAAUUGGACUUAGUGGCAGAGGGGAUUAGCAAGAGGGGCACUUGGGACCUGGUUUUAAAUUGGCGAGUGCUUUUUGGAAGAAAACACUGUACGCACGAUCAGGGUCUGGGUGUUCCAGCGAACUGAUGACCAUACAAAUCACGAGUUUCACAGGGAUGACAUAGUGUCAUGCUUUAGCCAUGAGCUAUCGUGGAAACUAGCCUCCCUCUCGUAGGCAAUCCAUCAUUCACUAACUGGCCGCUCCACCAUUCCACACGGAAAGAAGUCGGACUCGGAGCCUCCCGCGCGGGCUGGGUCUGGGAACCCUCUGCGGGCGCGGGUGCGCGGGCGGGCGACCGAGUGCCGGCCAAGCGGGGCUCGGAUGGGAGCGGCCCGCGCCAGAUCCGAGGGCGAUUGCCUCUCCAGCCUGCGGAGGGUACGGCCGCGAGUGCCUCCAAAUCACUAGGGGACUCUGAACGUGUUGCUCCCGUCAACUCGCUCAACAUGAUUCAUUUAUUCACUUAGAUAAACCACCACCGCCACACCAACCUGCCACUUGAUGCGCACUUAAAAGGACAGGGGAGCGCGGGCCAGGCAGACCCUCCGCCGGACACGACUCGGGGAGAAACAUGUUUUAAAAUCCAAGCUCUUGAGCUUCUAACCAGGGAGCGCGCGCGAGUGUGUGAAGAGGCUGAGAACCUCGGUUUUCAGAGACUCUAGAAUAAACUUCUCGCCCCCCUCUCCUCCCGAGGACAGUCGGGACUGUGGGUGAUCGAGUCUCAUUGGGUCGGGUCGGCCUUCUAAGUUGGCGGGGCCCUGCGGGACCGGUCUGCUUGACCCGACCGCGCUCGCAUUGGAGAGCCGAGGCUCGAUCGGUCUGCCGGGCUGCAUAACCCCCGCCCCGCAGCAGCGGCGUCCCUCGCGCGCCGCCGCGUUUCCCGCGCUCUCGGCCCGUACUUCCCGGCGCGGCCUACAAGGCCCCGCGCGGCCCCGCCUCCGGGUCCCGCUCGGUCUCCGGCUGCGAGAGGGAAGGCGGAGGUUAUCCGCCGAGGGACAAGCGGAGCGGACCGAGGUUCCUGAGCAGAAGGGAAAAUGAGCUUAAACAUGAGGCUUGGAGGAGAAAGAAGGGCUGGGGAGAAAUAUGGUUAUUCAGUCAGUCAGUUCAGUCACUCAGUCGUGUCCAACUCUUUGUGACCCCAUGGACUGCCGCACACCAGGCUUUCCUGUCCAUCACCAACUCUUGGAGCUUGCUCAAACUCAUGUCCAUCGAGUUGCUGAUGCUAUCACUUUAUUGGUUAUUACAAGAUAUUGAAUACAGUUCCCUGUGCCAUGCACUUCUGCUGCUGCUGCUAAGUCUCUUCAGUUGUGUCCGACUCUGUGCAACCCCAUAGACGGCAGCCCACCAGGCUCUCCUGUCCCUGAGAUUCUCCAGACAAGAACACUGGAGUGGGUUGCCAUUUCCUUCUCCAAUGCAGGAAAGUGAAAAGUGAACGUGAAGUCGCUCAGUCGUGUCCGACUCCUAGAAUACACCAAAUAUAACCAAAAGAACACAUCCUUCACACAUCUUGGUAUUUAUCAGCUUAAGAAAGUCAGCUUGUCUGAAAGUCAGUUUCUCAACUUGAAACGAGAAUAAAACUAUUGUGUGAGAAAUAUUUUAAGCAGUUACUGAAUUCAUGUGAUCAAAGUCUUCUUCAAAGUGCUUGUUUAUUGUAGCUGUUCCUCAAAUGUCAGGCCCAUAUUUUCUCACUACCAGAACACUCCAAAGAUCCCUAUCACACAAGUCUGUUAAAUUGGGGUGUCCAAUUUCUGCUGUUGUAUUCAUUCAGUUCAGUUGCUCAGUCAUGUCUGACUCUUUGAGACCCCAUGGGAUGCAGCACACCAGGCUUCCCUGUCCAUCACCAACUCCCGCAGCUUGUUCAAACUCAUGUCCAUUGAGUCAGUGAUGCCAUCCAACCAUCUCAUCCUCUGUCAUCCCCUUCUCCUCCUGCCUUAAGUCUUUCCCAGCAUCAGGGUCUUUUCCAAUGAGUCAGUUCUUCGCAUCAGGUGGCCAAAGUACUGGAGCUUCAGUUUCAGCAUCAGUCCUUCCAAUGAGUAUUCAGGACUGAUUUCCUUUAGGAUUGACUGGUUGGAUCUCCUUGCAGUCCAAGGGACUCUCAAGAGUCUUCUCCAACACCACAGUUCAGAAGCAUCAAUUCUUCAGUGCUCAGCUUUCUUUAUAGUCCAACUCUCACAUCCAUACAUGACUACUGGAAAAACCAUACCUUUGACUGUAUGGACCUUUGUUGGUACAGUAAUGUCUCUGCUUUAAUAUGCUGUCUAGGUUGGCCAUAGCUUUUCUUCCAAGGAGCAAGCGUCUUUUAAUUUCAUGACUGCAGUCACCAUCUGCAGUGAUUUUGGAACCCAAGAAAAUAGUCUGUCACUGUUUCCAUUGUUUCCCCAUCUAUUUCCCAUGAAGUGAUAGAACCGGAUGCCAUGAUCUUUGUUUUUUGAACGUUGAGUUUUAAGCCAAACUUUUCACUCUCCUCUUUCAUUUUCAUCAAGAGGCUCUUUAGUUCCUAUUUGCUUUCUGCCAUAAGGGUGGUGUCAUCUGCAUAUCUGAGGUUAUUGAUAUUUCUCUCAGCAAUCUUGAUACCAGCUUGUGCUUCUUCCAGUCCAGCAUUUUGCAUGAUAUGCUCUGCAUAUAAGUUAAAUAAGCAAGGUAACAAUAUACAGCCUAACAUAUUCCACUGCUCAUUUUGAACCAGUUUUCCAUGUGCAGUUCUAAGUGUUGCUUCUUGACCUGCAUAGUGUUGUAUUCAUAAUACCUAUUUUUUUCCAGAUGGGUAGGAUGAAUAUCAGCAUGUUUUUCUGACUUGCUGCUUCCAUAGUAUUCUCAGGAAAGGUCUUUACUUAAUAUCAUUGGUAUAAACUAUCUUAAAUUGAGAUAGAUUUUGGUCUUUCAAUCUCUCUUUAAUGGCCAAACUAUUCUCAUUAUUCAGCCUUAUAUGAUACUUUCUGUUGGAAUUAUUGUUGGAUGAAUAUGUUUUGCAUGUAUCUUACAGUUCCUCUAUAACAACACACACCAAAGAGACUUCUAAUUGGCAAUAUUACUCAUGUGGAUGGUCACAACUUAGAAAUUAAUUUUAGACAUAAAUACUAGAUUAUUGUGAAAAUGGCCAUGUCUUUAUUCUAUCCUUGUCUUUCGGUAUCUAA